GUCAAGCCUUUUACUGAAGACCUCCAUGGCUAGACCUGGUUGUCUCUCCAAUAAAGAGAAGCAGAGAAAGGACAACACUCUAAUGAGAUACGUCUGUGUUGAGAGAACAGCUGAGGUGAUUUGCCACAAUACAGACUUCGUUAGGCUACAUACAGUAAGUACAGAGGUGCAGUCCAGGUCUGAAUGUUGGUCAAAUGUACAGAUCUCAUGACUCAACCAAACAUAGCAGGCUGAAAAGACCACUUGGUGUACAUUAGCCAAAUAUUAUAUGCAGUCAUAGCCAUUAUGGGAACAUUCUGUGUAGUCAAAGCAGUUAGGGGAACAUUCUGUGUAGUCAUAGCCAUCAGGGGAACAUUAUGUGUAGUCAUAGCCAUUAUGGGAACAUUCUAUGUAGUCAUAGCAGUUAGGGGAACAUUCUGUGUAGUCAUAGCAGUUAGGGGAACAUUCUGUGUAGUCAUAGCCAUUAUGGGAACAUUCUGUGUAGUCAUCGUCAUCAGGGGAACAUUCUGUGCAGUCAUAGCCAUUAGGGGAACAUUAUGUGUAGUUAUAGCAGUUAGGGGAACAUUCUGUGUAGUCAUAGCUAUUAGGGGAACAUUCUAUGCAGUCAAAACCAUUAGGGGAACAUCAUGUGUAGUCAUAGCUAUUAGGGGAACAUUCGGUGUAGUCAUAGCAGUUAGGGGAACAUUCUGUGUAGUCAUAGCAGUUAGGGGAACAUUCUGUGUAGUCAUAGCCUUUAGGGGAACAUUCUGUGUAGUCAUAGCAGUUAGGGGAACAUUCUGUGUAGUCAUAGCCUUUAGGGGAACAUUCUGUGUAGUCAUAGCAGUUAGGGGAACAUUCUGUGUAGUCAUAGCAGUUAGGGGAACAUUCUGUGUAGUCAUAGCCUUUAGGGGAACAUUCUGUGUAGUCAUAGCAGUUAGGGGAACAUUCUGUGUAGUCAUAGCCUUUAGGGGAACAUUCUGUGUAGUCAUAGCCAGUAGUUGUACAUGCACUCCUUGUAUGUUCCUGUGUUUGAACUGCAAAAGGUUGAUUAUCCAGUGAACAUUUCCUCUUUAAUGCUUUUCCCGUGCUUAUCAAUGGUUAGUCUCCACGCCCAGCGUACUUCUGGAGGUGAUGGAUCUAA
Molecule: long non-coding RNA, 1120 nt
Filed under: Oncorhynchus mykiss (rainbow trout)
Lineage: Eukaryota; Metazoa; Chordata; Actinopteri; Salmoniformes; Salmonidae
Description: lncRNA (ENSOMYG00000065899.1)
Source: RNAcentral